This 253-nucleotide ribosomal RNA is filed under the name uncultured bacterium. Its description in RNAcentral is "partial 16S ribosomal RNA". It matches the Rfam family "Bacterial small subunit ribosomal RNA", at positions 524 to 776 of the family's 1533-position model. The record is from RNAcentral.
UACGGAGGGUGCAAGCAUUGAUCGGAAUUACUGGGCGUAAAGGGCGCGUAGGCGGCAAAAUAAGUCGGAUGUGAAAUUCCGGGGCUCAACCCCGGAGCUGCAUUUGAAACUAUUUAGCUAGAGUUCAGUUAGGGUAAACGGAAUUCCACGUGUAGCGGUGAAAUGCGUAGAUAUGUGGAAGAACACCGGUGGUGAAAACGGUUUACUGGGCUGAAACUGACGCUGAGGCGCGAAAGCAUGGGGAGCAAACAGG